This 497-nucleotide ribosomal RNA is filed under the name uncultured bacterium. RNAcentral describes it as "partial 16S ribosomal RNA". It matches the Rfam family "Bacterial small subunit ribosomal RNA", at positions 28 to 507 of the family's 1533-position model. The record is from RNAcentral.
GAUGAACGCUGGCGGCGUGCCUAAUACAUGCAAGUCGAGCGAACAGACGAGGAGCUUGCUCCUCUGCCGUUAGCGGCGGACGGGUGAGUAACACGUGGAUAACCUACCUAUAAUACUGGGGUAACUUCGGGAAACCGGAGCUAAUACCGGAUAAUAUAUUGAACCGCAUGGUUCAAUAGUGAAAGACGGUUUUGCUGUCACUUAUAGAUGGAUCCGCGCCGCAUUAGCUAGUUGGUAAGGUAACGGCUUACCAAGGCAACGAUGCGUAGCCGACCUGAGAGGGUGAUCGGCCACACUGGAACUGAGACACGGUCCAGACUCCUACGGGAGGCAGCAGUAGGGAAUCUUCCGCAAUGGGCGAAAGCCUGACGGAGCAACGCCGCGUGAGUGAUGAAGGUCUUCGGAUCGUAAAACUCUGUUAUUAGGGAAGAACAAAUGUGUAAGUAACUAUGCACGUCUUGACGGUACCUAAUCAGAAAGCCACGGCUAACUACGUG